Molecule: unclassified non-coding RNA, 375 nt
Filed under: uncultured bacterium
Lineage: Bacteria
Description: contains 16S-23S intergenic spacer region
Source: RNAcentral
UCGCGUCUUACGACGGCAGUUUCAGUAGAGUUCCCAGCGUUACCUGAUGGCAACUACUGAUGGGGGUUGCGCUCGUUGCGGGACUUAACCCAACACCUCACGGCACGAGCUGACGACAGCCAUGCAGCACCUGUGCUAGCCCCCUACGGACACGGGCUUUCACCCGCUUUAACUAGCAUGUCAAACCCAGGUAAGGUUCUUCGCGUUGCAUCGAAUUAAGCCACAUGCUCCGCCGCUUGUGCGGGUCCCCGUCAAUUUCUUUGAGUUUUAACCUUGCGGCCGUACUCCCCAGGCGGAUAACUUAACGCGUUAGCUGCGCCACCAAAACUCCAAGAGCCCUGACAGCUAGUUAUCAUCGUUUACGGCGUGGACUAC